CUCUAGCAUUCAAUUAGAGAGAGAGAUUUGCUUGUGUUCUUUCGAGCUCUUGCGCUUGGAUUGCUUUCUUCCUUCUUGAUUCUUUCUUGCGAUCAAACUCACUUGUAAUUAAGGCAAGAGACACCAAUCUUGUGGUGGUCCUUGUAGGAACCUUGUGUUCCAAGUUGAGAGCACCUAGAGGGGGGGGGUGAAUAGGUGAUCCUGUAAAAACUUCAAACUUAAGCCACAAAAAACUUGUUAAGUGUUAGCACGAUUAUUGCCAAGUGGCUAAGGUGAAGUCUCAACAAUCUCAACAAAACACAGUACCACAAGAGAAUCAAGCACAGAGUGACACAGUGGUUUUAUCCCGUGGUUCGGCCAAGACCAACGCUUGCCUACUCCACGUUGUGGCGUCCCAACGGACGAGGGUUGCAAUCAACCCCUCUCAAGCGGUCCAAAGACCCACUUGAAUACCACGGUGUUUUGUUUUCCUUUCACUAUCCCGUUUGCAAGGAAUCUCCACAAAUUGGAGUCUCUUGCCCUUACAAGUAUAUGAUCACAAAUGAAACACAGAGUAAGGGAGGGAAGCAACACACACAAAUCCACAGUAAAAGCGCACACACACGGCCAAGAAUCGAGCUCACAAGACUAUCUCAGAGUUCUCACUUAGAACAGAGCUCGAAUCACUUAGAAACACAAACGAAUGCGCAGAGACUUAGUGUGGAUGAUCAAGAAUGCUCAAAGGUUGCUUGUGUGUCUCCUCCAUGCGCCUAGGGGCUCCUUUUAUAGCCCCAAGGCAGCUAGGAGCCGUUGAGAGCAAAUCUGGAAGGCCAUCUUUGCCUUCUGUCUCGUGGCGCACCGGACAGUCCGGUGCACACCGGACACUGUCCGGUGCCCGAUUUGUUUCCUUAAAUGGCGAAGCCGACCGUUGCCGACCGUUGCAGAUCUGGCGCACCGGACAGUCCGGUGCACACCGGACAGUCCGGUGCUUCCUUCCGACCGUUGGCUCGGCCACGUGUCGCGCGCCGAUCGCGCGGCCGACCGUUGGCCCGGCCGACCGUUGGCUCACCGGACAGUCCGGUGCACACCGGACAGUCCGGUGAAUUUUAGCCGUACGCCGCCGGCCAAUUUCCCGAGAGCGGCCAGUUCGAGUCGCGCCAGCCUGGCACACCGGACACUGUCCGGUGCACACCGGACAGUCCGGUGCUCCAGACCGAGCUGGGUCUUGGCAGCACACAGCCAAGUCCCUUCUCCUUUUCUCUAUUCUUCUUCUUUCUGUUUCUAACACUUAGACAAAUAUAUUAGUACUUAAAACCAAUGUACUAAGGCUUAGAAACAUACCUUUACUUCAUGAUUUUCACCUUGUUCAUCCAUGUACAUAAAUUCCCAAUUAAGCACAUGUGUUGGCACUCAAUCACCAAAAUACAUAGAAAUGGCCCAAGGGCACAUUUCCCUUUCAAUCUCCCCCUUUUUGGUGAUUUAUGCCAACACAACAUAAAGCAACUAGAACAAGUGCAAACUCACUUCAAAUAAAAUAAAUUUAAGUUUUAUUCAAUUUUGGCAUAUAUGGAUCAUCCUUUGCCACCACUUGGUUUGUUUUUGCAAAUCAAACUCAAAUCUCUAUCUCUAAGUCAAACACACAUGUUGAAGUAUAAAGAGAGUCAUUCCAAAAGAGAUUGAUCAAAGAUUUCAAAAACUCCCCCUAUUUCCCAUAAUCAACACUUCUCCCCACAAGAAGCCAACUUUUGACAAUAGAGACAAUAAGAGACAAUAAAAGCUUUUGACAAAACAAAAACUCUAUUCUACUAUUUUCAAAAUCUCUCAAGUGGUAGCUGAUCCAUUUAUCACUUUGGCCUUUAUUUUCUCCCCCUUUGGCAUCAAGCACCAAAACGGGAUCAAUCUUGGCCCGUUAACCCCAUUGCCUCACCAAAGUCUUCAAUUAAGAGCAAAUGGCAAUAAGAUUUCAUGAGAUGAACUUGGAAUUAGUUACCCUCUCAUCGGAGUGCAGUGGAAGUCUUUCAUGGUCCAAGUUCACCUUUUCCCUUUCAAUCCUCCUUCGAGACUAAAUUAUCAAACUCAAGCACAAGGUUAGUCUCAAAGGGUCAAGUUGUAACACAUCUCCCCCUAAACAUGUGCAUCACUUUGCAACGGACUUGUGAGGUCCAGGGAGUGUUGGUACAACUUGAGCACCACAAUAAGCAACAAAAUGCAGAAUGAACCUGAUCAAAUGCAUAAACACAUGUAUGCUACAAUUCAAUCCAAGUUCCGCGAAUCUAAGACAUUUAGCUCACUACGCAGCCUGCAAAAGGUCUUCUCAUCUAGAGGCUUGGUGAAGAUAUCGGCUAGCUGGUUCUCGGUGCUAACAUGAAACACUUCGAUAUCUCCCUUUUGCUGGUGGUCUCUCAAAAAGUGAUGCCGGAUGUCUAUGUGCUUUGUGCGGCUGUGCUCAACAGGAUUCUCCGCCAUGCGGAUAGCACUCUCAUUGUCACAUAGGAGUGGGACUUUGCUCAGAUUGUAGCCAAAGUCCCUGAGGGUUUGCCUCAUCCAGAGUAGUUGCGCGCAACACUGUCCUGCGGCAACAUACUCGGCCUCAGCGGUGGAUAGGGCAACGGAAGUUUGUUUCUUAGAGUUCCAUGACACCAGGGACCUUCCUAAGAAUUGGCACGUCCCCGAUGUACUCUUCCUAUCGACCUUACAUCCAGCAUAGUCGGAGUCUGAGUAUCCAACUAAGUCAAAGGUAGACCCCUUUGGAUACCAGAGCCCGAAGCAAGGCGUAGCAACCAAAUAUCUAAGAAUUCGCUUCACCGCCACUAAGUGACACUCCUUAGGAUCGGAUUGAAAUCUAGCACACAUGCAUACGCUAAGCAUAAUAUCCGGUCUACUAGCACAUAAGUAAAGCAAAGAACCUAUCAUUGACCGGUAUGCUUUUUGAUCAACGGACUUACCUCCUUUGUUGAGGUCGGUGUGUCCGUCGGUCCCCAUCGGAGUCUUUGCGGGCUUGGCGUCCUUCAUCCCAAACCGCUUUAGCAGAUCUUGCGUGUACUUCGUUUGGGAGAUGAAGGUGCCGUCCUUGAGUUGCUUCACUUGGAACCCAAGGAAGUAGUUCAACUCGCCCAUCAUCGACAUCUCGAAUUUCUGCGUCAUCACCCUGCUAAACUCUUCACAAGACUUUUGGUUAGUAGAACCGAAUAUUAUGUCAUCGACAUAAAUUUGGCACACAAACAAAUCACCAUUACAAGUCUUAGUAAAAAGAGUUGGAUCGGCUUUCCCAACCUUGAAAGCAUUAGCAAUUAAGAAAUCUCUAAGGCAUUCAUACCAUGCUCUUGGGGCUUGCUUAAGUCCAUAGAGCGCCUUAGAGAGCUUACACACAUGGUCGGGGUACCGUUCAUCCUCGAAGCCAGGGGGUUGCUCCACGUACACUUCCUCCUUGAUUGGCCCGUUGAGGAAGGCGCUCUUCACAUCCAUUUGAAACAACCUGAAAGAAUGGUGAGCGGCAUAUGCUAGCAAGAUACGAAUUGAUUCUAGCCUAGCCACAGGAGCAAAAGUCUCCUCGAAAUCCAAACCUGCGACUUGGGCAUAACCUUUUGCCACAAGUCGAGCCUUGUUCCUCGUCACCACCCCGUGCUCGUCCUGUUUGUUGCGGAACACCCACUUGGUUCCCACAACAUUUUGCUUCGGACGAGGCACCAGUGUCCAAACUUCAUUGCGCUUGAAGUUGUUUAACUCCUCUUGCAUGGCCAACACCCAGUCCGGAUCUAGCAAGGCCUCUUCUACCCUGAAAGGCUCAAUAGAAGAGACAAAGGAGUAAUGCUCACAAAAAUUAACUAAUCGAGAUCGAGUAGUUACUCCCUUGCUAAUGUCACCCAGAAUUUGGUCGACGGGAUGAUCCCUUUGAAUCAUUGCUCGAACUUGGGUUGGAGGUGCCGGUUGCACUUCUUCCUCCAUCACUUGAUUAUCUUGUGCUCCCCCUUGAUCAAGCGCCUCCACUUGAGGUACCUGUUCGUCAUCUUUGGUUGGGGGAUGCACCAUAGUUGAGGAAGAAGGUUGAUCUCGUUCAUCUUGUUCCUGUGGCCGUACUUCUCCAAUCGCCAUGGUCCGUAUAGCGGCUGUCGGAACAUCUUCUUCAUCUACAUCAUCACAAUCAACAACUUGCUCUCUUGGAGAGCCAUUAGUCUCAUCAAAUACAACGUCGCUAGAGACUUCAACCAAACCCGAUGAUUUGUUGAAGACUCUAUACGCCUUUGUAUUUGAGUCAUAACCUAACAAAAACCCUUCUACAGCUUUGGGAGCAAACUUAGAAUUUCUACCCUUCUUCACUAGAAUGUAGCAUUUACUCCCAAAUACACGAAAGUACGAUACAUUGGGUUUGUUACCGGUUAGUAGCUCAUACGACGUCUUCUUGAGGAGGCGAUGAAGGUAGACCCUGUUGAUGGCGUGGCACGCCGUGUUCACGGCUUCCGUCCAAAAGUACUCGGGGGUCUUGAACUCUCCCAGCAUCGUCCUCGCCAUGUCAAUGAGCGUCCUGUUCUUCCUCUCUACUACACCAUUUUGCUGUGGUGUGUAGGGAGCGGAGAACUCGUGCUUGAUCCCUUCUUCUUCAAGGAACUCCUCCACUUGAAGGUUCUUGAAUUCGGACCCGUUGUCGCUCCUUAUCUUCUUCACUUUGAGCUCAAACUCAUUUUGAGCCCUCCUGAGGAAGCGCUUGAGGGUCCCUUGGGUUUCAGACUUAUCCUGCAAAAAGAACACCCAAGUGAAGCGGGAAAAGUCAUCAACAAUAACUAGACCAUACUUACUUCCCCCUAUGCUUAGAUAGGCGACGGGUCCGAAGAGAUCCAUAUGCAGCAGCUCCAGGGGUCUUGAAGUGGUCAUCACAUUCUUGCUGUGAUGCGCUCCUCCCACCUGUUUCCCUGCUUGACAAGCUGCACAAGGUCUAUCUUUUUCGAAAUGAACAUUGGUUAGACCUAUCACAUGUUCUCCCUUUAGAAGCUUGUGGAGGUUCUUCAUCCCCACAUGUGCUAAGCGGCGAUGCCACAGCCAGCCCAUGCAAGUCUUAGCCAUUAAGCAUGCAUCUAGACCGGCCUCUUCUUUUGCAAAAUCAACUAAAUAAAGUUUGCCGUCUAAUACACCCUUAAAAGCUAGUGAACCAUCACUUCUUCUAAAGACAGACACAUCUACAUUUGUAAAUAAACAAUUAUAUCCCAUUUGACAUAAUUGACUGACAGAUAGCAAAUUAUAUCCAAGACUCUCCACUAAGAAUACAUUUGAUAUAGAAUGCUCAUUAGAAAUUGCAAUUUUACCUAGCCCUUUUACCUUGCCUUGAUUCCCAUCACCGAAUAUAAUUGAAUCUUGGGAAUCCUUAUUUUUGACGUAGGAGGUGAACAUCUUCUUCUCCCCCGUCAUAUGGUUUGUGCAUCCGCUGUCAAUAAUCCAGCUUGAACCCCCGGAUGCAUAAACCUGCAAGGCAAAUUUAGGCUUGGGUCUUAGGUACCCAACUCAUGUUGGGUCCUGCAAGGUUAGCACAAAUGUCCUUAGGGACCCAAAUGCAAGUCCUGUCUCCCUUGCAUUUUGCCCCUAACUUCCUAGCAACUAUUUUCCUAUCCUUUCUACAAAUAGCAAAGGAAGUGUUUAAAGCACAAUAAAUUAUAGAAGGUUCAUUCACUACUUUCCUAGGAGCAUGAAUAACAUUCUUUCUAGGCACAUGAGCAAUAUUUCUCCUAGGCAUAUCCCUAUCAUGCUUAUAAGAAGAACUGGAGGCAAACAUGGCAUGAGAAUCAUAAACAUGUGAAUCAAAAUCAUUAUAAGCAUUUCUAGCAUUUCUCCUAUCAUAAUACAUAAAAGCAUGGUUCUUUUUAGCAUUACUAGCCAUAGGGGCCUUCCCUUUCUCCUUGACGAAGAUGGGAGCCUUAUGGCUUGUUAAGUUCUUGGCCUCUCUCUUGAAGCCAAGACCAUCCUUAAUUGAGGGGUGUCUACCAACCGUAUAGGCAUCCCUUGCAAAUUUUAUUUUAUCAACUUCAUUCUUGCUAGUCUUAAGUUGGGCAUUAAGACUAGCCACUUCCUUAUUUAAUUUGGAAAUUAAAACUAGAUGUUCACUACAGGCAUCAACAUCGAAAUCCUUACACCUAGUGCAAAUCUUAACAUGUUCUACACAAGAAUUAGAUUUAUUUGCUACUUCUAACUUAGCAUUUAAAUCAUUGUUAACACCUUGUAAAGUAGAAAUGGUUUCAUGACAAGUAGAUAGUUCAUAAGAAAGCAUUUCAUUUCUUUUUACUUCUAAAGCAUAUGAUUUUUGUGCCUCUACGAAUUUAUCAUGUUCAUCAUACAAUAAAUCCUCCUGCUUUUCUAAAAGCCUAUCCUUUUCAUUCAAUGCAUCAAUCAAUUCAUUGAUUUUAUCUAUCUUAGAUCUAUCUAAGCCCUUGAACAAGCAUGAAUAAUCUAUGUCAUCAUCACUAGACUCACUAUCACUAGAAGAAGCAUAAGUGGAGUCUUGAGUACUCACCUUCUUCUCCCUUGCCAUAAGACAUGUGAGACGCUCGUUGGGGAAGAGAGCCGAUUUGUUGAAGGCAGUGGCGGCGAGUCCUUCGUUGUCGGAGUCGGAGGAGGAGCAAUCCGAGUCCCACUCCUUUCCUAGAUGCGCCUCGCCCUUUGCCUUCUUGUAUUGCUUCUUCUUUUCUCUUUUGUUCCCCUUUUCCUGGUCACUUUCAUUAUCGGGACAGUUAGCGAUAAAAUGACCAAGCUUACCGCAUUUGAAGCAUGAGCGCUUCCCCUUGGUCUUGGUCUUGCUUGGCUGCCCCUUGCGACCAUUUAGCGCCGUCUUGAAUCUCUUGAUGAUGAGAGCCAUCUCUUCAUCGUUGAGUCCGGCCGCCUCAAUUUGUGCCACCUUGCUAGGUAGCGCCUCCUUGCUUCGUGUUGCCUUGAGAGCGAGAGGUUGCGGCUCGUUGAUCGGACCAUUCAAGGCAUCGUCCACAUAUCUCGCCUCCUUGAUCAUCAUUCGCCCGCUAACAAAUUUCCCAAGAACUUCUUCGGGCGACAUCUUGGUGUACCUGGGAUUUUCACGUAUAUUGUUCACCAAGUGAGGAUCAAGAACGGUAAAUGACCUUAGCAUUAGGCGGACGACGUCGUGGUCCGUCCAUCGCGUGCUCCCGUAGCUUCUUAUCUUGUUGAUAAGGGUCUUGAGCCGAUUGUAUGUUUGCGUUGGCUCCUCGCCCCUUAUCAUUGCGAACCGUCCAAGCUCGCCCUCCACCAACUCCAUCUUGGUGAGUAAGGUGACGUCGUUCCCCUCAUGAGAAAUCUUGAGGGUGUCCCAGAUUUGCUUGGCGUUAUCCAAGCCGCUCACCUUAUGGUAUUCAUUCCUGCACAAGGAAGCUAGAAGAACAGUAGUAGCUUGCACAUUCUUAUGAAUUUGUUCAUUAAUGAACAUGGGACUAUCCGAACUAUCAAAAUGCAUUCCACUCUCUACAAUCUCCCAUAUACUAGGAUGGAGAGAGAAUAGGUGACUACGCAUUUUGUGGCUCCAAAAUCCGUAGUCCUCUCCAUCAAAGUGUGGGGGCUUGCCGAGUGGAAUGGAGAGCAAAUGAGAAUGUGAACUUUGCGGAAUACGAGAGUAAUCAAAAGAAAAGUUCGAAUUAACCGGUUUUCUUCUCUCGUAGUCGUUGUGGUCCUCGUCCUUGUGGGAAGAAGUAGACUCGUCGCUGUCGUAGUAGAUGAUCUCCUUGAUGCGCCUGGUCUUCUUCUUCUUCCCUUCCUUCCGUCUUUGGCCCGAGCCGGAGUCGGUAGGCUUAUCGUCCUUCGGCUCGUUGACGAAGGAUUCCUUCUCUUUGUCGUUGAUCACUAUACCCUUCCCCUUAGGAUCCAUCUCUUCGGGCGGUUAGUCCCUUUGUGAAGAGAACGGCUCCGAUACCAAUUGAGAGCACCUAGAGGGGGGGGGGGGUGAAUAGGUGAUCCUGUAAAAACUUCAAACUUAAGCCACAAAAAACUUGUUAAGUGUUAGCACG
Molecule: long non-coding RNA, 7970 nt
Filed under: Zea mays
Lineage: Eukaryota; Viridiplantae; Streptophyta; Magnoliopsida; Poales; Poaceae
Description: long non-coding RNA (ZMAY_LNC000530)
Source: RNAcentral